UGAGGAAUAUUGGUCAAUGGACGAGAGUCUGAACCAGCCAUGCCGCGUGAAGGAUGAAGGCGUUCUGCGUUGUAAACUUCUUUUGCGGGGGAAGAAACCUUGAUAUUCUUAUCAAGCCGACGGUACCCCGAGAGUAAGCACCGGCUAACUCCGUGCCAGCAGCCGCGGUAAUACGGAGGGUGCAAGCGUUAUCCGGAUUUACUGGGUUUAAAGGGUGCGUAGGUGGAUUUGUAAGUCAGUGGUGAAAUCUCCGAGCUUAACUCGGAAACUGCCAUUGAUACUAUAAGUCUUGAAUUAUCUGGAGGUAAGCGGAAUAUGUCAUGUAGCGGUGAAAUGCGUAGAUAUUAGGAGGAACACCAGUGGCGAAGGCGGCUUUCUGGACUGUAACUGACACUGAGGCACGAAAGCGUGGGGAGCAAACA
RNAcentral lists this ribosomal RNA (422 nucleotides) under uncultured bacterium. RNAcentral describes it as "bacterial SSU rRNA". It matches the Rfam family "Bacterial small subunit ribosomal RNA", at positions 355 to 774 of the family's 1533-position model. The record is from RNAcentral.